CGGGGGGAGCAAGCGUUGUUCGGAUUUACUGGGCGUAAAGGGCGCGUAGGCGGCCACCGCAAGUCGACUGUGAAAUCUCCGGGCUUAACCCGGAAAGGUCAGCCGAUACUGCGGGGCUAGAGUGCAGAAGGGGCAACUGGAAUUCUCGGUGUAGCGGUGAAAUGCGUAGAUAUCGAGAGGAACACCUGCGGCGAAGGCGGGUUGCUGGGCUGACACUGACGCUGAUGCGCGAAAGCUAGGGGAACGAACGGGAUUAGAUACCCCGGUAGUCCUAGCCUUAAACGAUGAAUGCUUGGUGUCUGGGGUUUUAUAGUCCCCGGGUGCCGUCGCUAACGCUUUAAGCAUUCCGCCUGGGGAGUACGGUCGCAAGACUG
Molecule: ribosomal RNA, 374 nt
Filed under: uncultured organism
Description: bacterial SSU rRNA
Rfam family: Bacterial small subunit ribosomal RNA
Source: RNAcentral